RNAcentral lists this unclassified non-coding RNA (329 nucleotides) under soil metagenome. RNAcentral describes it as "partial contains 5.8S ribosomal RNA, internal transcribed spacer 2, and large subunit ribosomal RNA". The stretch from base 1 to 120 matches the Rfam family "5.8S ribosomal RNA", at positions 35 to 154 of the family's 154-position model. The record is from RNAcentral.
GAUGAAGAACGCAGCGAAAUGCGAUAAGUAAUGUGAAUUGCAGAAUUCAGUGAAUCAUCGAAUCUUUGAACGCACAUUGCGCCCCUUGGUAUUCCGAGGGGCAUGCCUGUUCGAGCGUCAUUAUAACCCCUCAAGCUCAGCUUGGUGUUGGGGCCUGCUGCACUGGCAGCCCUUAAAAUCAGUGGCGGCGCCAUCUGGCUCUAAGCGUAGUAAUUCUUCUCGCUAUGGAGUCCUAGUGGAUGCUUGCCAUCAACCCCCAAUUUUUCUAUGGUUGACCUCGGAUCAGGUAGGGAUACCCGCUGAACUUAAGCAUAUCAAUAAGCGGAGGA